CCUACGGGUGGCAGCAGUCGGGAAUAUUGCGCAAUGGAGGAAACUCUGAAGCAGUGACGCCGCGUAUAGGAAGAAGUUUUUCGGAAUGUAAACUAUUGUCGUUAGGGAAGAGAAAGUACAGUACCUAAGGCGGAAGCUCCGGCUAACUACGUGCCAGCAGCCGCGGUAAUACGUAGGGAGCGAGCGUUAUCCGGAAUUAUUGGGGUUAAAUGGUUCGUAGACGGGAAAACAAGUUAGGUGUGAAAUCGCUGGGCUUAACUGAGGAACUGCAACUAAAACUAUUGUUCUUGAGUGCAGGAGAGGUAAGUGGAAUUAGUAAUGUAGCGGUGAAAUGCGUAGAUAUUAGGUGGAACACCAGUAGCGAAGGCGACUUACUGGACUGUAACUGACGUUGAGGCACGAAAGUGUGGGGAGCAAACAGGAUUAGAUACCCGGGUAGUC
RNAcentral lists this ribosomal RNA (441 nucleotides) under uncultured bacterium. RNAcentral's name for it is "partial 16S ribosomal RNA". It matches the Rfam family "Bacterial small subunit ribosomal RNA", at positions 338 to 795 of the family's 1533-position model. The record is from RNAcentral.